Molecule: non-coding RNA, 2558 nt
Organism: Notechis scutatus (mainland tiger snake)
Lineage: Eukaryota; Metazoa; Chordata; Lepidosauria; Squamata; Elapidae
Source: RefSeq, a predicted model, not a curated record
CUUGUUUCUGUUUUAUCCAGUAAAAUGUGUUGUUCUUCUGUAUCCUCUGUGUUAGUACCACACAAUCUUGUAAUUUCUGACUUCAAACAACCAUGAAUUCUUCUAGUCAAACAGUAUUGAUCUAUUGCAGGCGUGUCAAACUCACAUCGUCAUGGCGGUGUCACAUGAUGUAUUAGGAUUCCCCCCCCUUGCUAAACCAGGCAUGGGUAUGGCCAGUGCGUGAUGUAUCGGGCCAGGAAUUUGACAGCCUUGAUUUAUUGUAUUAAUGGCCUGCUGUUUCUUUGAUUGUAAUUGUUAGUUCUUUCUGGUUCCCUGUACUCAACUUUCAAGUCAUCUCUUACCAAUUGUUCAUUUUCCAGUCAACAAAACUUUUCCAGGCAACAAUUUCUGAUAAUUAAUUUCAAAAUCUUCAUAUAUUCCUUUAUAAAAAUGUGAACACCUCACAAGAAAUACACUUUCAAACCAAUCUAUCCCUUUAACUUUUCAAAAUCAACAUUCUGGCUCCCUUUUGCUGUUUUCCAAAAGUUAAUCCCCCCCUCCCUUUUAAUCCCUAAACUUACAUAGAACUUCUUUCUUCCAAGGUAGGAGAGACUCCUUUUCUAAUGAAACGUGUCUUUCACUUGCCCUUCAGAAGGUUCUUCACAAGGAAAUAAUAAGCAGCUUCCUAAAGUAGUUAAGAGCUGCUGAACCAUGCCUUAGGCAAGAUGGUCAACUCCCAGAGCUAUCAAACCUGCUGGAAAUAUUUAUUUUAUCUUCUCUUUGCAGGGACAUUUUGUAUGGAGCAAGCUGGUAGUUGAUCCCUAUUCUCUCCUUGAUCUAGAGCAGGGAGAGUAAUUCCAAUGAGCCAAUCCAUUCACUGAUUCCUCCUUUCACUGCAGUUGUCGGCUCUGCAUUGAUUUCUCCAGAAGUUGCCAUGUUACAAGUUUCCAAAUGAAAGUUAGGGGACAACUUUACAUUUAAAUGAAGAAAAUUCCAGUUUGGAUUUGGAAUUUAAGAAAUGGUGUAGAAUAAAAAGACUCAGUUGAAUAAAUCUAGUGUGUAUGUGGGGAAAUAGAAGAUGAAAGAGGAUGGUAGACUCCUCCCCCAAUAAAAGAAAAAAAUGCAUUAUAGCCAUUUCUACAUUUGUGCAGAUAAGUUAAAGUCAACAUCUUUGCUUUUGAUGCCCUUGAAAUUAGAUUAGUGCUCAUAUUUUUAUAAACAGAUAUUAAACUGGUUAGUGAAUUAAUAUAGAAAAAGCUUUAAUACGGAAUGGGUUACUUCUCAUAAUCUAAAUUUUAAUCAGAUUAUUACAAUUGAUGUACUUGAUAUUAGGCACUUAGCUUAAUCUUUGUCUGAUUCAUUUGCUUAGGAGUGUGAACAGUAAAGAAGAUAAGGAUCAGGGAUGUUCUUAAUUUGGUUCUUUUGAAAUAAUGAUUAAACAUAAUAAUGUAAAUAGGCAAUUAGAAUUCAAAAAAUAUUUAUAGAUUACCUUUUAAAUGCAAAUAUGUGUGCCUCUUAGGGGAUUGAUUGAACUGUCUUAUUUUUUUAAAAAAAUUGACAUCACUAAUCUUAUGAUUUAGUACUCCACAAACACUACUGGCACAUCUUUGUGGACUACUUCUAUAAAUAUGUAUUCUUGUGGUUUGAAUGUUGGACAUAAUAGUUGACUGCAAAAGCCUAGACACCCCAGUUAAGAUAUAUGUUUGUAACAUGCAUAAGUUAUGUCAGCCUUUCCUUUUUAGGGAUUCUUUAAAGCAUACAAUUUGACCAGGAAUGGUCCAGCCUUUUCAUAUGCUAUUCUAAUAUGCUAACUACUCAUAUUUUUGCACUAUAAGAUGCUCCAGACCAUAAGACGCAUCUAGCUUUUGGGGAGGAAAACAAGAAAACAAAAAAAAUCUGCCUCUGUCUCCCAGCCCCCAGCACGUGGCUCAUCAGGAUUCUGCUCUGUUACACCCACCACCGAUCAGCUGAGUGACAACUGGAUCCCGGCCUCCCGUAGCCCUACCAAUCAGUGGGCUGGCCAGCCAAAAACAGUGUUGGUGCCUCCUUUGUGCCACCGCCGAACGGUAGCAGCAGCAAUGGGCGAUGACGGCAAUCCCUGCCGCCUGGAACAGCUGAUUGGCGGUAUUCCGGGAGGCCAAUCCAACUGCCAAUAGGUGGCGGCUAUAGGCAAUAUUCACUCCAUAAGACGCACAGGCAUUUCCACCCAAUUUUUUUUUGGGGGGGGAGUGCAUCUUAUAGUGCAAAAAUAUGGUAAUUUGUUAGUUUAUUCUGGAGGAGACCGAAUGAAGUAGGCUGUUCUUGAAUGAUGAACUUUAUGCAGAAUGUACAUUUUUGUCUUAAUUUUCUUGAAGUAAGUAAAGUAGGUUUCUAUUUCUCUAAGCUAUCAUGUGCUUGGUUUGGUUUUGGCUUAAUAUGAUAACUUAACCACUGGAUUUUAGAUUUUGAGGUUUGUAAAAGAAAGUAAUACACUCUCAUCUCAAAAAAUGAGAAUAUAUGUCUAAUAUAUAUUGUCUAAAACCAUGUGUAUAAAUAACAUAUGGUGCAUGAAACUUCUGGCUCACAAUAUCUGUCAAAUA